This 507-nucleotide ribosomal RNA is filed under the name uncultured bacterium. RNAcentral describes it as "partial 16S ribosomal RNA". It matches the Rfam family "Bacterial small subunit ribosomal RNA", at positions 28 to 507 of the family's 1533-position model. The record is from RNAcentral.
GACGAACGCUGGCGGCGUGCCUAAUACAUGCAAGUCGAACGCAUUUUCUUUCACCUUAUCUUGCUCUCCCGAAAGAAACUGAUUAGUGAACGGUUGAGUAACACGUCUUUAACCUGCCCUUCAUCGUGGGAUAACACUUGGAAACAGGUUCUAAUACCCUAUAAUUCCAUUUACCGCAUGGUAUUUGGAUGAAUGGCGCUUUUGCGUCACCUUUGCAUGUUCCCGCGGUGCUUGAGCUAGUUCGUGGGGUUACGGCGUACCAAGGCUGCGAUGCAUAGCCGAACGGAGAGGGUGAGCGGCCACCCUGGGAGUGAGACACGGCCCAGAGGCCUACGGGAAGCAGCAGUAGGGAAUCUUCGGCAAUGGGCGCAAGACUGAGCGAGAAAGGCCGAGUGAGUGAAGAAGGUUUUCGGAUCGUAAAACUCUGUUGUUAGAGAAGAACAAGGAUGAGAGUGGAAAGUUCAGCCCUUGACGGUAUCUAACCAGAAAGCAACGGCUAACUACGUG